UUUUUCACUGCUUUUGACUGCGGCAUGCUGCAUGAUGACGACGACAUUAAGUGCCCUCUGCCAUUGAGUAAGAAAGAAUGGUUGUAUCUAAAGGCAGUUUGUGAUACCAGAUUUUACUUGCCGAGCGUAAGUGGUAAGGUAAACGUGAAGCUAACGAACUACAAAGCAGAAGAACUGAUUUGCAUUGAAGGCCAAAUUCGUACAUUCUAACUAACAAGUAGGGCCUGCCACGUCAGCCAGGUUAAACAAAUCAUGUCAUGUUUACAGUUAGAAAACUCAAGUACCCCAUGUAAUCUUUUACCAUGAAGAAUUGCCUAUUAUGUAUAGUACUUAGUAGCUACUUUUACGCGAAUGUAGACAUAAAUGAAUACAUAGCAAAUAAGAUCGAAUCUAGGACGAGAUCAUGGCUGAUGUUUAAUUAUGUACUACUGUAUACAGAAAGUAUGAUUUCGUCGCUGAUAUAUAUGGACAGCUUUUCUAUCAAUGGUGAUACGAUAAAGCAGGAACAUUUUUUUUACUAUAACGUACGUGAACAGUGAACAUAACUGAAGAAGGAUAUAAUAUAAAUAUUAAAGAAUAAAUGAAUAUGUUCAUGUUAAUUUUGUGCUUGCUGAAGUAUAAUUUCUAAAUAUAGAGGGCUUGAUUUACAAUAUUAUAAAAUUUAAAGAAUAAACUACUGUUGCUGUUCA
Molecule: long non-coding RNA, 689 nt
Organism: Anneissia japonica
Lineage: Eukaryota; Metazoa; Echinodermata; Crinoidea; Comatulida; Comatulidae
Exons: 3
Source: RefSeq, a predicted model, not a curated record